This 485-nucleotide small RNA is filed under the name Caulobacter vibrioides NA1000. RNAcentral's name for it is "small non-coding RNA". The record is from RNAcentral. Lineage: Bacteria; Pseudomonadati; Pseudomonadota; Alphaproteobacteria; Caulobacterales; Caulobacteraceae.
UUCAGGCGUUCGGACCAUCCUUCAUUGCGGGGUUCGGCGAGGCGAGGGGAGGUGUCCGGCGUCAGCGCGAGGCCCAGCGCGACGCCGCCGCCCUUGAGCGGCUUGGCGGCGGCGAACUGGCUCUUGCGCGACCAGGCGGUGAAGGCCUUGCGCUGACCGGUGACGACGUCGGGCAGGUCGCCGAUCGCCGCCUCCAGGGCGGCCAGGACAGCCGUCGAGGCCGGAUCGGUCCACAGCGCCGCACGCAGGCCGUCCGCGUCGUCCCACCCCAUUUCGGCCGGGAAGGCGACGCCGAAGAUCGUCGCCGCGCGGUUCUGGCCGAUCCCGUAGGUGGCCUUCAGCCAGUCGGUGCGGGCCUUGGGCUUGGUUUCUUUGCAUUCGCGGCGGACGAUCUCGACCCAUUGCUCCAGGGUCUUGCCGGUUUCGCGCUCCAGAUUGGCGCGAACCGAGGCGAACCAUUUCUGCUGCUGCUCGGUCAGGCCCUG